RNAcentral lists this transfer RNA (98 nucleotides) under Hermanssonia centrifuga. RNAcentral's name for it is "Phlebia centrifuga tRNA". It matches the Rfam family "tRNA". Rfam says of the family: Transfer RNA (tRNA) molecules are approximately 80 nucleotides in length. Their secondary structure includes four short double-helical elements and three loops (D, anti-codon, and T loops). Further hydrogen bonds mediate the characteristic L-shaped molecular structure. tRNAs have two regions of fundamental functional importance: the anti-codon, which is responsible for specific mRNA codon recognition, and the 3' end, to which the tRNAs corresponding amino acid is attached (by aminoacyl-tRNA synthetases). tRNAs cope with the degeneracy of the genetic code in two manners: having more than one tRNA (with a specific anti-codon) for a particular amino acid; and 'wobble' base-pairing, i.e. permitting non-standard base-pairing at the 3rd anti-codon position. The record is from Rfam by way of RNAcentral. Lineage: Eukaryota; Fungi; Basidiomycota; Agaricomycetes; Polyporales; Meruliaceae.
GGCGCUAUAGCCAAGUGGUUAAGGCGAUUGAUUAGAAUUGGAAAACUCCGGCUAUCAAUUCCCGUUUCGGGGCGCAGGUUCGAGUCCUGCUGGCGUCG